GUAAGUUUGAACGUUUGAGAAAUGUUGGGUUGGACACAAUUAAACUGAUUUUAAACAACGUUAAACAAAAAACCUUCUGGCACUUUUUUUUUUUUUUUUUUUGAGACGGAGUCUUGCGCUGUCGCCCAGGCUGGAGUGCAGUGGCGCGAUCUCGGCUCACGGCAAACUCCGCCUCCCGGGUUCACGCCAUUCUCCUGCCUCAGCCUCCCGAGUAGCUGGGACUACAGGCGCCUGCAACCACGCCCAGCUAAUUUUUUGUAUUUUUUAGUAGAGAUGGGUUUCAUUGGGUUAGCCAGGAUGGUCUCGAUCUCCUGACCUCAUGAUCCGCCCACCUCGGCUUCCCAAAGUGCUGGGAUUACAGGCGUGAGCCAUCGCACCCGGCCCCGUUCUGGCAGUUUUCAAAGCCGUUUUGUUUUGUUUUGUUUUAUUUGUUUGAGAUAGAGUUUCGCUCUGUCGCCCAGGCUAGAGGCUGGAGUGUAGUGGCGCGAUCUCGGCUCACUGCAAGCUCCGCCUCCCGGGUUCACGCCAUUCUCCUGCGUCAGCCUCCCGAUUAGCUGGGACUACAAGCGCCCGCCACCACGCCCGGUUAAUUUUUCCUAUUUUUUAGUAGAAACGCGGUUUCACCCUGUCAGCCUGGAUGGCCUCGAUAUCCUGACCUCAUGAUCCACCCGCCUCAGCCUCCCAAAGUGCUGGGAUUACAGGCGUGAGCCACCCUGCCCAGCCUUUUCAAAGCCUUUAAUAAGAAAAUGUUUCCUUGACAGAAAGCCUGGAAUCUACCUUUCUUAGACUCACUUACUAGCAGUUACUGGUUUAGGUUUUGCCAGUGAGAAACUCGUGUGUGAGACUUGGAAGGUGAACAAGAAGAAGAAGCCAUUGAUCUUCAGUGGGAGCUGCAGGCAGCUAUAUGGGCAUUGGAGAUGGCAGUGAACACAUGUUAAGUACUGUCAGUAGAGGAUGCAGGAGAGACAUUGAGAGAGGAUGAAGGAUUCUUCUAAUUCUGUACACCUGCCAAAGUCUCACCUCAGCUGCCUGCCUAGAAAGGCUGCUUCCCAUGACCCUCUCUACCUGAAGACCACAUGUUCUAAUUCUCAUGCAAAAGCCCCAUCCUCACUCCCUCUUUAUACAUUCACUUAUGAACUGUGGCUCUCUGCCACCUCAUUUCCUGCUUGCCCAGCGACCAUGGACCAGCUCUGAUCUGAGUGUCCUAGGAAACUUCUCUGGAGGUUGCAACUACACCUUCUCCAACAAGACCUGAACCCCACCUUGGAAUCCCCACUUCAACCUUGUCCUUCAUUGCAUCAUUUCCCUGAGCCCUAGGCUAACCAGCAGAGUUCUCUUUACAUCCUUAUAUUUACUUCCCUGCCAUAUUUAAUAAUUCUUUACAUUAAAAAGUUCCUGUUCAAAUUACUAUGAUUUCUUUUUCCUGAUUGAAUUUAGAUGGAUAUAUC
Molecule: long non-coding RNA, 1448 nt
Filed under: Homo sapiens (human)
Lineage: Eukaryota; Metazoa; Chordata; Mammalia; Primates; Hominidae
Description: HSALNT0339301
Source: RNAcentral